UACGUAGGGUGCGAGCGUUAAUCGGAAUUACUGGGCGUAAAGCGUGCGCAGGCGGUCUGUUAAGACCGAUGUGAAAUCCCCGGGCUUAACCUGGGAACUGCAUUGGUGACUGGCAGGCUUUGAGUGUGGCAGAGGGAGGUAGAAUUCCACGUGUAGCAGUGAAAUGCGUAGAGAUGUGGAGGAAUACCGAUGGCGAAGGCGGUCUCCUGGGGCAUUCUUGACGCUGAGGCGCGAAAGCUGGGGGAGCAAACGGG
Molecule: ribosomal RNA, 254 nt
Filed under: uncultured bacterium
Lineage: Bacteria
Description: partial 16S ribosomal RNA
Rfam family: Bacterial small subunit ribosomal RNA
Source: RNAcentral